GUUUUAAUAAUUUAAUAAAAAUAUUGGUCUUGUAAACCGAAAAUAAGCUUAGACUUUUAAAACU
This 64-nucleotide transfer RNA is filed under the name Strophosoma melanogrammum. Its description in RNAcentral is "tRNA-Thr". It matches the Rfam family "tRNA". From Rfam's summary of the family: Transfer RNA (tRNA) molecules are approximately 80 nucleotides in length. Their secondary structure includes four short double-helical elements and three loops (D, anti-codon, and T loops). The record is from RNAcentral. Lineage: Eukaryota; Metazoa; Arthropoda; Insecta; Coleoptera; Curculionidae.